UAGCAUAUCAAUAAGCGGAGGAAAAGAAACUAACAAGGAUUCCCCUAGUAACUGCGAGUGAAGCGGGAAAAGCUCAAAUUUAAAAUCUGGCGGUUCUGCCGUCCGAGUUGUAGUCUGGAGAAGUGCUUUCUGCGCUGGACCGUGUACAAGUCUCUUGGAACAGAGCGUCAUAGAGGGUGAGAAUCCCGUCUCUGACACGGACUACCAGUGCUUUGUGUGGCGCUCUCAAAGAGUCGAGUUGUUUGGGAAUGCAGCUCAAAAUGGGUGGUAAAUUCCAUCUAAAGCUAAAUAUAGGCGAGAGACCGAUAGCGAACAAGUACCGUGAGGGAAAGAUGAAAAGCACUUUGGAAAGAGAGUUAAACAGUACGUGAAAUUGCUGAAAGGGAAACGCUUGAAGUCAGUCGCGUCGUCUGGACUCAGCCUUGCUUUAGCUUGGUGCACUUUCAGUCGACGGGCCAGCAUGGAUUUUGGCUGCCGGAAAAGGGUGGGGGGAAUGUGGCACCCUCGGGUGUGUUAUAGCCCCCUGUCGUACGCGGUGGCCGGGAUCGAGGAUUCGCGCCGCAAGGCGUUUGGAUGCUGGCGUAAUGGCUUUAAACGACCCGUCUUGAAACACGGACCAAGGAGUCUAACAUGCCUGCGAGUGUUUGGGUGGUAAACCCGAGCGCGUAAUGAAAGUGAAAGUUGAGACCUCUGUCGUGGAGGGCAUCGACGCCCGGAUCAGACCUACUGUGACGAUUCCGCGGUAGAGCAUGUAUGUUGGGACCCGAAAGAUGGUGAACUAUGCCUGAAUAGGGUGAAGCCAGAGGAAACUCUGGUGGAGGCUCGUAGCGAUUCUGACGUGCAAAUCGAUCGUCAAAUUUGGGUAUAGGGGCGAAAGACUAAUCGAACCAUCUAGUAGCUGGUUCCUGCCGA
This 912-nucleotide ribosomal RNA is filed under the name Purpureocorticium microsporum. Its description in RNAcentral is "LSU rRNA". It matches the Rfam family "Eukaryotic large subunit ribosomal RNA", at positions 36 to 964 of the family's 3401-position model. Lineage: Eukaryota; Fungi; Basidiomycota; Agaricomycetes. The record is from RNAcentral.